RNAcentral lists this transfer RNA (68 nucleotides) under Proboscia alata. The record is from RNAcentral. Lineage: Eukaryota; Bacillariophyta; Melosirophyceae; Probosciales; Probosciaceae.
GAAUGUGGGGUGGUAGUUUGGAAAACCACAGGAGAUCCAGGAUUUUCGGAAAAUGGUACUUGACACUU